AUACGUAGGGAGCGAGCGUUGUCCGGAAUUACUGGGUGUAAAGGGAGCGUAGGCGGGAUGGCAAGUCAGAUGUGAAAUACAUGGGCUCAACCCAUGGGCUGCAUUUGAAACUGCAUUUCUUGAGUGAAGUAGAGGUAAGCGGAAUUCCUGGUGUAGCGGUGAAAUGCGUAGAUAUCAGGAGGAACACCGGUGGCGAAGGCGGCUUACUGGGCUUUUACUGACGCUGAGGCUCGAAAGCGUGGGGAGCAAACAGGAUUAGAUACCCUGGUAGUCCACGCUGUAAACGAUGAUUACUAGGUGUGGGGGGACUGACCCCUUCCGUGCCGCAGUUAACACAAUAAGUAAUCCACCUGGGGAGUACGGCCGCAAGGUUGAAACUCAAAUGAAUUGACGGGG
This 396-nucleotide ribosomal RNA is filed under the name uncultured bacterium. Its description in RNAcentral is "partial 16S ribosomal RNA". It matches the Rfam family "Bacterial small subunit ribosomal RNA", at positions 523 to 918 of the family's 1533-position model. The record is from RNAcentral.